This is a long non-coding RNA of Bubalus bubalis (water buffalo), 2012 nucleotides long. RefSeq lists it as uncharacterized. NCBI's taxonomy places the organism in Eukaryota, Metazoa, Chordata, Mammalia, Artiodactyla, Bovidae. The transcript has 3 exons. The record is from RefSeq and is a predicted model, not a curated record.
CGUGUGAGAUGAGUGCAAUUGUGCUGUAGUUUGAGCAUUCUUUGGCAUUGCCUUUGGGAUUGGAAAACACAGGACAGGUGACAAAUACUGAGUUUUUCCAUGUUCUAGGCACUGAUCUUGACAUAAGUAAGUGUUAGUCACUCAGUCAUGUCCAGCUCUUUGCAACCCAGUGGACUGUAGCCCACCAGGCUCCUCUAUCCAUGGAAUUCUCCAAGCAAGAAUACUGGAGUGGGUUGCCAUUCUCUUCUCCAGGGAAUCUUUCUGACCCAGGGAUCAAACCUGGGUCUCCUGCAUUGCAGGCAGAUUCUUUACCAUCUGAGUCACCAGGUAGAUGCAGUAAUAAGCUAGGCAGCUAUGAGGCUCAGAAAGCUUAAAGUAUAGGGGUGGAGGCAAAAAGUAAAUAGAAAAACAAAUAAUAAAGCUAAUUUACAUAUAAAAUAUAUGGGAAAGAGUAACAGGAGCACAGAGAGGAAACUUUAAAAAGAAGGCCAGGGAUUGUAUCCUGGAGGACGUGGCAUUUACACUUGGACCUGAAUGAAGAGAAAGAAAUCAGCUUUAAGAGGAUCUGGAGCAUUACAUUCCUAGCAAAGGCGUAGCAUGUGCAAAGGUCCUGAGGAGAGAACUGCUGCUGCUGCUGCUGCUAAUUCGCUUCAGUCGUGUCCGACUCUGUGCGACCCCAGAGACGGCAGCCCACCAGGCACCCCCGUCCCUGGGAUUCUCCAGGCAAGAACCCUGGAGUAGGUUGCCAUUUCCUUCUCCAAGAGGAGAGAACAGACAUAGCCUAUUUAAGAAUCAGAAAGGGGGACUUUCUUAGUGGGCCAGUGGCUAAGACUUCAUGAUCCCAGUUCAGGGGGCCCAAGUUCAAUCCUUGAUCAGGGAGCUGGAUCCCACACGCUGCUACUAAAAGCUUGCAUGCUGUACUGAAGAUCGAAGAUCCCACAUGCCACAACCAAGACCUGGGGCAGUCAAAUAAAAGAUAAUUUGUUUAAAAAAGACACUGUAAGAAAAGAAUCAGGAAGAAGCUGGUGUUAAGUGAAGCGUGAAGCAGAAGGGAAAUCAGAGAGACUGAAAGCCUGCUGAGGUGAGCAGCAUGGUAAACAGCACUGGCAGCCUCAACAUAAAAGAGGCUCCCAGCUGACAACCAGGAAAGAAACAGGACUUCACCCUUCAGCCUCGAGGAAUGAGAUUCUAUCCCCAACCUGAGUGAGCGGGGAAGUGACUUCUCCCCCCAAGACUCCAGAUAAGGGCCCAGGCUAACCAUCAUCUUGAUUUCACCUUGUGCAACCUGGAGCCAAGGAAUCAGUCAGAUGCACAGGACUUCUGACUUGCAGCAGUGAGAGGAAGAAGACGCCAUGUAAACCUUGAACAGACAGCUGCAGAUAUGUGAUGACUUGAGAAUUUCUGAAACAUCUGUCUACCUCUAAAAGAAGCAUACAGUUUUAAAGUCUCAAGACUGGAAAGAAUGUAAUGGUCAAAUACUGUAACCAAUCAGCUUGUGUUUUAAGUCCUUUUAUCUAUAUCCCCCAAAUGUCCUUUUAUCUAUAUCCCUCAAAUGUCACCAGCCUAUGAAUCACACCUCUGAUGAUAAGAAACUUAGUUAUUCCUCAAGCUCUAAGUGCUACACAGUCAUUCCUUACAAAGACAAACUUUAAUCCAAAACAUUUUCUGUAUGUUAAGUGUUCUAUUCUGUAUUAUAAGAUUCUAUAUUUGUAUCCUCAGAACCUAGAAAAACAUAGGUAUGCAAGUGCUCAGUGAGGUUGGUUGAAUGGAGUUGAAAAAAUUUCCUUGGGUUGUAUACUAUAUUGCCAUCUAGUUAAUUGUGCAUGUAUUGUAUUUUCCUAACUAGAUUGUAAACUCUGUGAGGGAUGACAUCUUGUUUUAUAUAUUUUUGUAUCCUCUGCCUUCCCUAGUAUUAUUAUAUAUGUAUAAUGCCCCAAAUAGCUAUUUGUUGAAUUUAAAAUGUGAGUGAAUGAGUGAAUGAAUAACUGAAUAAAUAAACAUUAUUAUUAGGC